UGUCCCUACGGGACGCAGCAGUGAGGAAUAUUGGUCAAUGGUCGGGAGACUGAACCAGCCAAGCCGCGUGAGGGAUCAAGGUACAGAGUAUCGUAAACCCCUUUUGUCAGGGAACAAAGGCGGGGACGUGUCCCCGGAUGAGUGUACCUGAAGAAAAAGCAUCGGCUAACUCCGUGCCAGCAGCCGCGGUAAUACGGAGGACGCGAGCGUUAUCCGGAUUUAUUGGGUUUAAAGGGUGCGCAGGCGGUCUGUUAAGUCAGCGGUCAAAGCCCGGGGCUCCACCC
This 284-nucleotide ribosomal RNA is filed under the name uncultured bacterium. RNAcentral's name for it is "partial 16S ribosomal RNA". It matches the Rfam family "Bacterial small subunit ribosomal RNA", at positions 335 to 615 of the family's 1533-position model. The record is from RNAcentral.